GGAAGAAGUAGCACGUUGAAUGCACCAGGUCCCAACGGAUCACUGAGGUUAAGCAACGCGUGCUUGGUACCUAUUUGGACGGGUGACCGUCUGGACAAUCAUGUGCUGCUGGCU
RNAcentral lists this ribosomal RNA (114 nucleotides) under Diaphorina citri (Asian citrus psyllid). The record is from RNAcentral. Lineage: Eukaryota; Metazoa; Arthropoda; Insecta; Hemiptera; Psyllidae.